RNAcentral lists this long non-coding RNA (623 nucleotides) under Daucus carota (carrot). RNAcentral describes it as "long non-coding RNA (DCAR_LNC005783)". Lineage: Eukaryota; Viridiplantae; Streptophyta; Magnoliopsida; Apiales; Apiaceae. The record is from RNAcentral.
UUUUUUAUUUUUUAUUUUUUUUAUGUAUGUGUGUGUUUGUGUUUAUGUGGGUCUAGGUUUCUGUUUUGUUGAAUUUGAUUCUGGGCGUUUUUGUAUUGAUUUGAUGUUUUGUGGGUAUUGUAUUGUGGUAGUAGAGGUGUUUUAGGUCGAGGGUUUUUUAGCGUUUUAGUGGAUAAUUGAUGUUUUGAUUUUGAUUUGACUUUUUAAUGGUUUUAUGUGCGGCUGAUUUGUUCGUGUCAUCUGCCUUGGAUAGUUGGAGUGAAUGUUACUGGUGAUUUAUAGUUGCUCUUUUGUUGGUUUUUUGUGCAUAGUUUUGUGCUAUUUAGUGGCCACAGCAAGCCAGUUGAUUGAUUGCUUUUAUUUGGAUUCAGUGUCUUCCCAUUUGGGUGUUGUUAGAGAGGCUUGUGGCCUUGUGUUGUGUGGCUGUGGCAUUUCAUGUAGUUGUUGUCUCUUGGUUAUUCUUUGGUUAAUGGUGGCCUGUUCGUUGCUUGCUCCUUUUUUAUAUGAUUGUAAUUUUUUACUUUUAGGUUGAGCCUAAGAGGGCCAUGUCUAGGGAAGAACAACAAGUGUCGAAGGCUGGGAACCCAAGUUCUGGCAGAAGCUAUGGGGGUGGUGAUGUUAGG